UGAUCCUGGCUCAGAAUGAACGCUGGCGGCAGGCCUAACACAUGCAAGUCGGACGGUAACAGAGAGAAGCUUGCUUCUUUGCUGACGAGUGGCGGACGGGUGAGUAAUGCUUAGGAAUCUACCCUUUAGUUGGGGACAACGUAUGGAAACGUACGCUAAUACCGAAUAUGCUCUACGGAGUAAAGGUGCCCUCUCCUUGGAAGGUAUCGCUAAAGGAUGAGCCUAAGUGAGAUUAGCUAGUAGGUAAGGUAAGAGCUUACCUAGGCGACGAUCUCUAGCUGGUUUGAGAGGAUGAUCAGCCACACUGGGACUGAGACACGGCCCAGACUCCUACGGGAGGCAGCAGUGGGGAAUAUUGCACAAUGAGGGAAACCUUGAUGCAGCCAUGCCGCGUGUGUGAAGAAGGCCCGAGGGUUGUAAAGCACUUUCAAUUGUGAGGAAGGUAGUGUAGUUAAUACCUGCAUUAUUUGACGUUAACUUUAGAAGAAGCACCGGCUAACUCUGUGCCAGCAGCCGCGGUAAUACAGAGGGUGCAAGCGUUAUUCGGAAUUACUGGGCGUAAAGCGCGCGUAGGCGGAUUAUUAAGUCAGUUGUGAAAGCCCUGGGCUCAACCUGGGAACGGCAUCUGAUACUGGUAGUCUAGAGUUUAGUAGAGGGAAGGGGAAUUUCUAGUGUAGCAGUGAAAUGCGUAGAUAUUAGAAGGAACAUCAGUGGCGAAGGCGCCUUCCUGGACUAAAACUGACGCUGAGGUGCGAAAGCGUGGGUAGCGAACGGGAUUAGAUACCCCGGUAGUCCACGCCGUAAACGAUGUCAACUAGUUGUGGGGCUUAUUAAAAAGUU
This 840-nucleotide ribosomal RNA is filed under the name marine metagenome. RNAcentral's name for it is "bacterial SSU rRNA". It matches the Rfam family "Bacterial small subunit ribosomal RNA", at positions 14 to 840 of the family's 1533-position model. The record is from RNAcentral.